Molecule: ribosomal RNA, 456 nt
Filed under: uncultured bacterium
Lineage: Bacteria
Description: bacterial SSU rRNA
Rfam family: Bacterial small subunit ribosomal RNA
Source: RNAcentral
AGAGUUUGAUCCUGGCUCAGGACGAACGCUGGCGGCGUGCUUAAGACAUGCAAGUCGUGCGGACUCCUUCGGGGGUCAGCGGCGGACGGGUGAGUAACACGUGGAUAACCUGCCAUCAGCUCCGGGAUAACAGACCGAAAGGGCUGCUAAUACCGGAUCAGCUCACGGAGGCGCAUGCCUGUGGGAGAAAAGGCGCUGCAAGGCGCCGGGUGAUGAGGGGUCCGCGGCCCAUUAGCUAGUCGGGGGGGUAAAGGCCCACCAAGGCGACGAUGGGUAGCCGGCCUGAGAGGGCGAACGGCCACACUGGGACUGAGACACGGCCCAGACUCCUACGGGAGGCAGCAGUCGGGAAUUUUGCGCAAUGGCCGCAAGGCUGACGCAGCAACGCCGCGUGAGUGAAGAAGGCCUUCGGGUUGUAAAGCUCUGUUGCCCGUGACGAACGGCCACAUCAGGAAA